GACGAACGCUGGCGGCGUGCCUAAUACAUGCAAGUAGAACGCUGAAAGAGGAGCUUGCUCUUCUGGAUGAGUUGCGAACGGGUGAGUAACGCGUAGGUAACCUGCCUGGUAGCGGGGGAUAACUAUUGGAAACGAUAGCUAAUACCGCAUAAUAUUGACUAUUGCAUGAUAGUCAAUUGAAAGGUGCAAAUGCACCACUACCAGAUGGACCUGCGUUGUAUUAGCUAGUUGGUGGGGUAACGGCUCACCAAGGCGACGAUACAUAGCCGACCUGAGAGGGUGAUCGGCCACACUGGGACUGAGACACGGCCCAGACUCCUACGGGAGGCAGCAGUAGGGAAUCUUCGGCAAUGGACGGAAGUCUGACCGAGCAACGCCGCGUGAGUGAAGAAGGUUUUCGGAUCGUAAAGCUCUGUUGUAAGAGAAGAACGAGUGUGAGAGUGGAAAGUUCACACUGUGACGGUAUCUUACCAGAAAGGGACGG
This 484-nucleotide ribosomal RNA is filed under the name Streptococcus cristatus. Its description in RNAcentral is "bacterial SSU rRNA". It matches the Rfam family "Bacterial small subunit ribosomal RNA", at positions 28 to 496 of the family's 1533-position model. The record is from RNAcentral. Lineage: Bacteria; Bacillati; Bacillota; Bacilli; Lactobacillales; Streptococcaceae.